AACUGUUUCACAGUGCCAUGGCUC
This 24-nucleotide non-coding RNA is filed under the name Rattus norvegicus (Norway rat). The record is from RNAcentral. Lineage: Eukaryota; Metazoa; Chordata; Mammalia; Rodentia; Muridae.